ACAGGUAAAUUUUACAGGUCUUCUAAACUUGUUUUAGUGGAAACACUGUUUACUUGUU
This 58-nucleotide transfer RNA is filed under the name Pingus sinensis. RNAcentral's name for it is "tRNA-Ser". The record is from RNAcentral. Lineage: Eukaryota; Metazoa; Nematoda; Chromadorea; Rhabditida; Quimperiidae.